UUAUCUACAACCCAUCCAUGCUUGGGCUACAGAAUUGGGUCCACCAAAGUUCUUUUAUUUUGGCUACAUUAGUAAUUUCAAGAAAGUAUUGGGGUAUAUCGGUCUACCGGAGAGUUUCCACUUUUCCUAGUCUCCCGAGUGCCGAACCAUGUAAGAAGCGGAGUCGAAUUCUUGAUAAAGCUUCCAAGAGAAGACCAUCCAUUGUUGGAACUCGAGAGGAACACGAGGUUUGGCGAAGAGGAGAGGCCGGGACUGGGCGGGUCUUGCCAAGUUUUUAUAUAAAUGGCGUUUAUGAGAGGAGAGCCUUUGGUGGCGAAGCUCGCAGUACUGGCGAGGUACGGAGUUCUUCCGGGGGCUAUGGUUGCUGCUUUGAUCUACUCACCGCCGCAGGAGUCUAACAAGAAGGACGUUUCCACUUCCAAGUAGAACGUCUUCUCUUUCAAGAAAAUUUGGGCCACUUGGUGAUGCAUGUGCUGAACGUGUGGAGAUCUACAUCAUUGCUAUGGCUUCAUCUCAAUAGAUUCCUUUUUUUUUUUUUUUUUCCUUUGAAUAAUAUGGGGAGUGUGUUAUGUUCAGGCUUAAUGAACAAAUGUGAGCUGGUUUUUGAUCUUUUGAUAUUAGAUAAAAAUAUGUGAAAUUUCCACCAUGCUGUCAUUCAAAUAAAUGCAUUGGGUUCAUUGCUUUUGUCAACCA
Macadamia integrifolia is the source of this 693-nucleotide long non-coding RNA. RefSeq lists it as uncharacterized. NCBI's taxonomy places the organism in Eukaryota, Viridiplantae, Streptophyta, Magnoliopsida, Proteales, Proteaceae. The transcript is spliced from 2 exons. The record is from RefSeq and is a predicted model, not a curated record.